RNAcentral lists this ribosomal RNA (462 nucleotides) under Citrobacter farmeri. RNAcentral's name for it is "partial 23S ribosomal RNA". It matches the Rfam family "Bacterial large subunit ribosomal RNA", at positions 1273 to 1735 of the family's 2925-position model. The record is from RNAcentral. Lineage: Bacteria; Pseudomonadati; Pseudomonadota; Gammaproteobacteria; Enterobacterales; Enterobacteriaceae.
CUGGAGGUAUCAGAAGUGCGAAUGCUGACAUAAGUAACGAUAAAGCGGGUGAAAAGCCCGCUCGCCGGAAGACCAAGGGUUCCUGUCCAACGUUAAUCGGGGCAGGGUGAGUCGACCCCUAAGGCGAGGCCGAAAGGCGUAGUCGAUGGGAAACAGGUUAAUAUUCCUGUACUUGGUGUUACUGCGAAGGGGGGACGGAGAAGGCUAUGUUGGCCGGGCGACGGUUGUCCCGGUUUAAGCGUGUAGGUGUGUGUUCCAGGUAAAUCCGGUUCACUUUAACACUGAGGCGUGAUGACGAGGCACUACGGUGCUGAAGCAACAAAUGCCCUGCUUCCAGGAAAAGCCUCUAAGCAUCAGGUAACAUCAAAUCGUACCCCAAACCGACACAGGUGGUCAGGUAGAGAAUACCAAGGCGCUUGAGAGAACUCGGGUGAAGGAACUAGGCAAAAUGGUGCCGUAACU